GACGAACCGUGCGAACGUUGUUCGGAAUCACUGGGCUUAAAGGGCGCGUAGGCGGGCUCGCAAGUCAGGGGUGAAAUCCCACGGCUCAACCGUGGAAGUGCCUUUGAUACUGCGGGCCUCGAGGGAGGUAGGGGCGUGCGGAACUUCCGGUGGAGCGGUGAAAUGCGUAGAUAUCGGAAGGAACACCGGUGGCGAAAGCGGCGCGCUGGACCUCUACUGACGCUGAGGCGCGAAAGCCAGGGGAGCAAACGGG
This 253-nucleotide ribosomal RNA is filed under the name uncultured bacterium. RNAcentral's name for it is "partial 16S ribosomal RNA". It matches the Rfam family "Bacterial small subunit ribosomal RNA", at positions 524 to 776 of the family's 1533-position model. The record is from RNAcentral.